UGAUGAUGAUGAAUUCAAACUCCGACAGCCGUAUCUCACUCUGGUUCCGACGAUGACGAUAUUGUCACUGAUGUUGACGAUGGUGACGAUACUGAUGGAGAUGAAUGGCAGCGACAGUGGUGCGAUGGUGUGGAGGAUCCGACGCAAAUAACUUCGGUCGUAUCAAUAACGGUGGUGGUGGGUUCGUGGUGGUGACAGUGGUGAGCGUCUAAGGUUGUGGAGGUGAUGAUUACUUCUGAUCGACUUGGAGAUGAGUUUCAGCUCGGUUUCGGUUCAGGGUUCAUGAUGCAGCUCGGUCAACUCACGGUUCGGGUUACGUCUCGGCUCAGCUUGGGUUGAUUCGGGUCAAAGAUGUGUACGGUCAUCAGGUCAGUUUUGGGUUCAUGACUCGAUUUGGGUCCAGUUAAAACCAAGUCCACUGCAGGUUCUCGUUUCGAGUCAACUGGUCAGCCACGGUUCGGGUGCGGUUCGAUGGGCCAGAUUUUGGUUCGUAAUAAUUUUGGUCAACUGUGGUCAACCCCGGUCAACAUCAGGUCA
This 537-nucleotide long non-coding RNA is filed under the name Helianthus annuus (common sunflower). Its description in RNAcentral is "sRNA HanXRQr2_Chr10g0447631". The record is from RNAcentral. Lineage: Eukaryota; Viridiplantae; Streptophyta; Magnoliopsida; Asterales; Asteraceae.